RNAcentral lists this small RNA (116 nucleotides) under Pongo abelii (Sumatran orangutan). Its description in RNAcentral is "Metazoan signal recognition particle RNA (ENSPPYG00000031506.1)". Lineage: Eukaryota; Metazoa; Chordata; Mammalia; Primates; Hominidae. The record is from Rfam by way of RNAcentral.
GCCGGGCGUGGUGGCUCACGCCUGUAAUCCCAGCACAUUGGAGGCCAAGGUGGGCGGAUCGCCUGAGGUCAGGAGUUCGAGACCAGCCUGGCCAACAUGGUGAAACCCCGUCUCUA